This 497-nucleotide ribosomal RNA is filed under the name uncultured bacterium. RNAcentral describes it as "partial 16S ribosomal RNA". It matches the Rfam family "Bacterial small subunit ribosomal RNA", at positions 28 to 507 of the family's 1533-position model. The record is from RNAcentral.
GACGAACGCUGGCGGCGUGCCUAAUACAUGCAAGUUGAGCGCUGAAGGUUGGUACUUGUACCAACUGGAUGAGCAGCGAACGGGUGAGUAACGCGUGGGGAAUCUGCCUUUGAGCGGGGGACAACAUUUGGAAACGAAUGCUAAUACCGCAUAAAAACUUUAAACACAAGUUUUAAGUUUGAAAGAUGCAAUUGCAUCACUCAAAGAUGAUCCCGCGUUGUAUUAGCUAGUUGGUGAGGUAAAGGCUCACCAAGGCGAUGAUACAUAGCCGACCUGAGAGGGUGAUCGGCCACAUUGGGACUGAGACACGGCCCAAACUCCUACGGGAGGCAGCAGUAGGGAAUCUUCGGCAAUGGGCGAAAGUCUGACCGAGCAACGCCGCGUGAGUGAAGAAGGUUUUCGGAUCGUAAAACUCGGUUGGUAGAGAAGAACGUUGGUGAGAGUGGAAAGCUCAUCAAGUGACGGUAACUACCCAGAAAGGGACGGCUAACUACGUG